Coccinella septempunctata (seven-spotted ladybird) is the source of this 788-nucleotide long non-coding RNA. RefSeq lists it as uncharacterized. NCBI's taxonomy places the organism in Eukaryota, Metazoa, Arthropoda, Insecta, Coleoptera, Coccinellidae. The record is from RefSeq and is a predicted model, not a curated record. The transcript has 4 exons.
AUGGAUACCUAAUUUAUAUCCACCCAUGUGUUUAUUUGACCAAAAUUUUCCAGAGUAAGAAGACAGCGAACCUCUUAUUUUCAUUUCCUUUGACCAGGUUGAGCCAUACCGAAGGUCUUUUGGUGGAGAUACUGAUUGAAACGCUCCAUUCUCAGAGUCCGAAAUUACAUGGAUCCAAAGUUUUCUCAAUUUCUACACAAUUAAUACCUACGGUAAUGUUUUAACACUCGAAAGGUUUUCAAUGUAUUGAAUAAUCACUCCUUUGAAACUUUUUGGAGAUUUGUUUUUGUGAAAUUAUUUUCUAGAAUCUUUAGACUUCAGAUUAUUCUGCUCUAGAAUAAUCUUUAUGAAGCUAUCAAUGUAAUUUUCAUCAAUUUCAAGCUUUUGAAGUGAGGAAAGGUAGCUGGUGCGAUAAUUACUUAUCUGUUAGUUGUGCUUCAAUUCAAACCUUUCAAUUGAAGAGGGAACAUCAACAACUCACCUACCUUCGUAGCACAUUCACAAAUCACAUAAUAUGUAAACUGAAGUGAAUCACAAAUGCAGAAUUUAUGGACCCCAUGUCGAAGUGCCACUAUAGGAUGGGGUAAACAGACAAAUCUUCUUCACUAGAGAACUAGACGUGUUCUAUGGGUGAUAGAUCGGGUGAUCUAGGGAGCCAAGCCAAUGUGAUUCCGGCUAGGUGUGAUCGAGCAUCAUCUUUUUGAGAAAGUAGUUUUCUGACUCAAGGCAUGAUAGACGAACAAACUAAAGCAGUUCUUCAAAAUGUUUUAUGUUCCGAAAACAUUACU